GCAUAUCAAUAAGCGGAGGAAAAAGAAACUAACAAGGAUUCCCCUAGUAACUGCGAGUGAAGCGGGAAAAGCUCAAAUUUAAAAUCUGGCAGUCGUUGGCUGUCCGAGUUGUAUUCUGGAGAAGCGUUUUCCGCGCUGGACCGUGUACAAGUCUCUUGGAAUAGAGCGUCGUAGAGGGUGAGAAUCCCGUCUUUGACACGGACUACCAGUGCUUUGUGAUGCGCUCUCAAAGAGUCGAGUUGUUUGGGAAUGCAGCUCAAAAUGGGUGGUGAAUUCCAUCUAAAGCUAAAUAUUGGCGAGAGACCGAUAGCGAACAAGUACCGUGAGGGAAAGAUGAAAAGCACUUUGGAAAGAGAGUUAAACAGUACGUGAAAUUGCUGAAAGGGAAACGCUUGAAGUCAGUCGCGUCAUUCAGAACUCAGCCUGGCUUUUGCCUGGUGUAUUUUCUGGUUGACGGGCCAGCAUCAGUUUUGACCGCUGGAAAAAGGCCAUAGGAAUGUGGCACCCUCGGGUGUGUUAUAGCCUAUGGUCAUAUACAGCGGUUGGGACUGAGGACCGCAGCACGCCUUUAUGGUUGGGGUUCGCCCACAUUCGUGCUUAGGAUGCUGGCGUAAUGGCUUUAAACGACCCGUCUUGAAACACGGACCAAGGAGUCUAACAUGCCUGCGAGUGUUUGGGUGGAAAACCCGAGCGCGUAAUGAAAGUGAAAGUUGGGAUCCCUGUCGCGGGGAGCACCGACGCCCGGACCAGACCUUUUGUGACGGAUCCGCGGUAGAGCAUGUAUGUUGGGACCCGAAAGAUGGUGAACUAUGCCUGAAUAGGGUGAAGCCAGAGGAAACUCUGGUGGAGGCUCGUAGCGAUUCUGACGUGCAAAUCGAUCGUCAAAUUUGGGUAUAGGGGGCGAAAGACUAAUCGAACUCAUCUAGUAGCUGGUUUCCUGCCCGAAG
This 947-nucleotide ribosomal RNA is filed under the name Panus conchatus. Its description in RNAcentral is "LSU rRNA". It matches the Rfam family "Eukaryotic large subunit ribosomal RNA", at positions 38 to 966 of the family's 3401-position model. The record is from RNAcentral. Lineage: Eukaryota; Fungi; Basidiomycota; Agaricomycetes; Polyporales; Panaceae.